UGGUGGAGUGAUUUGUCUGGUUAAUUCCGAUAACGAACGAGACCUCAGCCUGCUAACUAGUGGGUUCAACCUUCUGCAUGGGUGAAUCUUUAAUUGGGUGGGAUCUUUGUAUUUCAUUCAAUUAAAGUGGAUCCUUGACGAGUUGGAUCUCUUAUUUUUACUUCUUAGAGGGACUAUUCGCGUCUAGCGAGUGGAAGUUUGAGGCAAUAACA
This 212-nucleotide ribosomal RNA is filed under the name uncultured eukaryote. RNAcentral's name for it is "partial 18S ribosomal RNA". It matches the Rfam family "Eukaryotic small subunit ribosomal RNA", at positions 1299 to 1458 of the family's 1831-position model. The record is from RNAcentral.